GGGGGCGACCUGGUUUCGACGUGGGUUGCAAAACCUUAGGUGCAUGCCGAGGCGCAGACAACCUCGUUAAUCCAGCUGCAAACCUUAUAGUUGCCAACAACGACAACUACGCACUCGCCGCUUAAACCCCGGUAGAGUGCCGUCUGACCGGGGCCGUGCUUGUGCGUCCGGAGUCCUUCGGGACACUCAGGCGUCGAUUCUCACAAGAUCGCGGUGAAGCUUGUCCCGAGCCGAUCCGCUAAAACCUUAGGGACUCGCCGUCAGUUUUCCCUGCCCAUCGGGUAGCUGGCGGUUAAAUCAAUAGAUUGGGAUAAGCAUGUAGAGCCGAAGGCGGAGAGCUUGCGGACGCGGGUUCGAUUCCCGCCGCCUCCACCA
RNAcentral lists this transfer-messenger RNA (375 nucleotides) under Gammaproteobacteria (g-proteobacteria). RNAcentral describes it as "QQUJ01 sp008501635 Standard tmRNA". It matches the Rfam family "transfer-messenger RNA". Rfam says of the family: Bacterial tmRNA, also known as 10Sa RNA or SsrA, is named for its dual tRNA and mRNA-like properties. Lineage: Bacteria; Pseudomonadati; Pseudomonadota. RNAcentral also lists the same sequence under 1 other name. The record is from RNAcentral.